UUCGACACACUAUCAUUAACUGAAUCCAUAGGUUAAUGAGGCGAACCGGGGGAACUGAAACAUCUAAGUACCCCGAGGAAAAGAAAUCAACCGAGAUUCCCCCAGUAGCGGCGAGCGAACGGGGAGCAGCCCAGAGCCUGAAUCAGUGUGUGUGUUAGUGGAAGCGUCUGGAAAGGCGCGCGAUACAGGGUGACAGCCCCGUACACAAAAAUGCACAUGCUGUGAGCUCGAUGAGUAGGGCGGGACACGUGGUAUCCUGUCUGAAUAUGGGGGGACCAUCCUCCAAGGCUAAAUACUCCUGACUGACCGAUAGUGAACCAGUACCGUGAGGGAAAGGCGAAAAGAACCCCGGCGAGGGGAGUGAAAAAGAACCUGAAACCGUGUACGUACAAGCAGUGGGAGCACGCUUAGGCGUGUGACUGCGUACCUUUUGUAUAAUGGGU
RNAcentral lists this ribosomal RNA (443 nucleotides) under Escherichia coli. Its description in RNAcentral is "partial 23S ribosomal RNA". It matches the Rfam family "Bacterial large subunit ribosomal RNA", at positions 139 to 620 of the family's 2925-position model. The record is from RNAcentral. Lineage: Bacteria; Pseudomonadati; Pseudomonadota; Gammaproteobacteria; Enterobacterales; Enterobacteriaceae.